AUCUUGGACAAUGGGGGCAACCCUGAUCCAGCGAUGCCGCGUGGGUGAAGAAGGCCUUCGGGUUGUAAAGCCCUUUAGGCCGGGACGAAGGAUGAUUGGGGAUAAUCUGAUCAUUUUGACGGUACCGACAGAAUAAGCACCGGCAAACUCUGUGCCAGCAGCCGCGGUAAUACAGAGGGUGCGAGCGUUAAUCGGAGUUACUGGGCGUAAAGGGCGCGUAGGCGGUUAGGUGAGUGUGAUGUGAAAGCCCCGGUCUUAACCUGGGAAGUGCAUCGCAAACGACCUGACUGGAGUAGAUGAGAGGGUGGCGGAAUUUCCGGUGUAGCGGUGAAAUGCGUAGAGAUCGGAAGGAACGUCAAUGGCGAAGGCAGCCACCUGGCAUCAUACUGACGCUGAGGCGCGAAAGCGUGGGUAGCGAACAG
RNAcentral lists this ribosomal RNA (422 nucleotides) under uncultured bacterium. RNAcentral's name for it is "bacterial SSU rRNA". It matches the Rfam family "Bacterial small subunit ribosomal RNA", at positions 361 to 775 of the family's 1533-position model. The record is from RNAcentral.